GUGCAGAUGAUGACGGAGGACAUCCUGUGGCAUUUCAAGACCUGUCAUCGCUGGUCCUUGAUAAAAGACUUCUGAGAGACAUGGAAAAGAUGGCCCUGUUCAAACAUACUGGGCCGCUGGAAGUCUUUCACAGCGCACUUUUGAAAUACCUCCCCAAUGAGAAGCACGGUUCAACCAAAUGUUCUGCAAGAGAUCCAAGCAGUGGGUCUUGAAGAAAAGCUUCAUACCACACAGUUUGUAGACGAACUCAUCCAGAAGGCCAUUGACAAAAGACUCAAUCCAAACAUUGUGUUCAACGUGCCAACCUCCCCACUGCCACCCAACAUUGCACCAGUGCCUAAACCAUCAAAGGAGGCUGCCACGACUUCUUUCAAAAGUCACUUCUGAGACUGACACUUUCUAAUAAUAAUAAUAACAAUCACCUCUUCCCUGAGUUCUAUUGCUGUGUCUAAUCAGAUUCUGC
Molecule: non-coding RNA, 463 nt
Organism: Paramisgurnus dabryanus
Lineage: Eukaryota; Metazoa; Chordata; Actinopteri; Cypriniformes; Cobitidae
Source: RefSeq, a predicted model, not a curated record